Molecule: small nuclear RNA, 134 nt
Rfam family: U4 spliceosomal RNA
About the family: U4 small nuclear RNA (U4 snRNA) is a component of the major U2-dependent spliceosome.
Source: Rfam
AUCUUUGCGCUGGGGCAGUUAUCAGUACAGUGAGGUCACCGACCGAGUAUGAUAUAUUGCUAGUUGAAAACUAUACCAAUGCUCUUUGGUACAGUUUCGCACUGACCAAGAAUUUCUGACGGGUCGCUUGCGAC